Molecule: ribosomal RNA, 278 nt
Filed under: uncultured bacterium
Lineage: Bacteria
Description: partial small subunit ribosomal RNA
Rfam family: Bacterial small subunit ribosomal RNA
Source: RNAcentral
AGAACGAACGCUGGCGGCGUGGAUAAGACAUGCAAGUCGAACGAGACUUUUCGUUGUAGCAAUACGAUGGAAAGUUUAGUGGCGAACGGGUGCUUAACACGUGGGCAACCUGCCAUGAAGUGGGGGAUAGCUCGCCGAAAGGCGAAUUAAUACCGCAUGUGCUUAGAGAGGACAUCCUUUCGAAAUUAAAGUCGGGGCAACCUGACGCUUCUUGUGGGGCCCCGCGGCCUAUCAGCUAGUUGGCGAGGUAACGGCUCACCAAGGCGACGACGGGUAGC